Molecule: RNA transcript, 4383 nt
Organism: Ceratina calcarata
Lineage: Eukaryota; Metazoa; Arthropoda; Insecta; Hymenoptera; Apidae
Exons: 8
Source: RefSeq, a predicted model, not a curated record
UUACCCGGAGUACGUCACGGUUGUGGUUUCAUUCGUGGAAAAUAUCGUAGAAUCUCGACUCGUAACGGAGUCUGUUCGUAAUCGCGAGUUUCGAGUAAACGAAUCGGUCGGACAGCGAUCGACCUUCAUGCAAAUACGUGAAUGCAUUUUACACGUGAUAAUUGUAAUUCUAAACAGAACUUCUCCUACAAUUUGCUGAUGUCUCGAUGAUCGGCUGUAAAUCGUCUUAACCGAGGAAGCAACUGUUUUUUCGUACAAGAUGUCGUCCGAUGACGUCAAUAGUGUGUUAUCUAGGCGAAUGCAAAUGGAGAUUGCAAACAACCAACUUUGAUUCGUCUGUUGUCACUUCGCCCGUGAUUCUUGACAAAAUCAUUUGUCAAACGAAUUUAUUACUAACGCGAGCGACGUAGCGCUGUUUCACGUUUAAUCGGAGACAACGUGUCGUCGCGGUUUGGUCGAUUUUCUCGUUCAGUAGCCUCUCUUUGCGAAGAUUGUUUAGUCAGCUGGAGCUGGGAAUGCGCGUACUCGCUCAAUUAUCACAAUUAUUUAUUAGCCAAUAAUUGAAACCUGAAUUAUGAUACGCGAUUACGUAAACCGUUGGAUGUACUAUUGUUUUAUCGCGUAUCCCGGCUCGUUCGACUCGCAUCGAUCUCCCUUGAUUUCCCAAUCGCAUUUUACGAUAGCCGUGCCCUCGGCUAAUUGCUCGUCGCUUUUUCCUCUUCGCCUCCUUCUUUGCGUAGUGCAAUUUGUCGUACAAGGCUGAGCGCCUCUUUCGCGUUAUCUGCAUUCCUCGCCGCGAAACUGCCGCUCGGUUAUCAGCCGAUUAGGUGACAAAAAAAAGAAUUGACACUUCUAAGAUCCACGCGUGUGCUAUAUAGAUAGAUACCGGUCGCAUAAUCGCGGUCACGUUGGUGCCCGAAACGCUCGGCAACGGCAACUUCCCCACUAUCGAUCGUUUCGCGAACGUUUCCCGGUGAGUCAGCGAUUCUUUCCAAAGAUUUUCCAUUCGAUUUACGUCUGUAUUCUAUCGGAUCGUCUUCGAUCUUGUUCGAUCGCUCUUGAAUCCCCUUCCCUGUGAAGAUCGGUGACCGAGUGUUGGAAACGAGUCGCGUCACAAAGAGAAUUCGGAGUUCUUUGUCGUCACACGUACAACCUUUGCUUUUGUGUGCACGGUUUCCGUGGUGGAGACCGGCACUUACAAGGUACAGACACAGAAAUACACCGACGCACGUACGAACACAGACAGGCCAGGCUAUCGGCGUCGAGCAGGCUAUAGAUCACCCACACAGAGGCAAAAGCACGCAACAUGGCAACCGAGGCAGGACGUAGAGACGAUGGUUAUACGUAGGAGUUCCAGUGGCAGGGGGUCAGUGUAAAACGGCCUUCUGUCGGCAACGUGUCGAUCGUGCCGUUCCUGUUAAGCAAGCCAAUUUUCCGCGUUCUUAUCGCUACGUACAAUUCUAUUUACAAAACACCGCUACUCGGCUCCGAAACGGAAGGGAUCGUUUCGUCGCUCUGAUUUCACGACGAGUGUGUCGAACCUACUUCGCCAUCGUCGAUUUCAAAAACCUGCUGACUAGUAGCGUACAGGGGAGCUUACAAAAGGCUUGUUUCGCGCUCGUUGAUGGCUGCCAGGGUCGUCGGCUAGGAGUCGUUCAGCGAAGUUUCGUGCUGCCAGUGUGAUAACACAGCCCAUACCCGAUGAGUAUUAGAUUGGCAGGUGGUCAUAUGGUGAAGCAGAGGAGGUUUAUUGGGAACACGAAUAACAAGAUGAUCAACAUACGAGAAUAUUUAUAGGCUACUCAUAGGUGGAACUCCAACGUAUAUUACACGUGUCCCAAUAUCGUGUGGUAGAAUCAGCGAACGCGGAUCGAUCCGUAUGAAGGAAAACAUCCGAGCAACCACGCAAUCAACAAGGUGCGAACAGUAGUGUUCCGGCGAAAUUUUUUUUAAAAAUCCGUAAAAGGUGCUCGAGGCAUCCGAAGCGAACGUAUAGCAAACGAAUCUCUGAGAGAUCUCCAGAGGCGUCUGAGCUAUGGUUAGUCUCUGCGACGACCUGAUUUCCUGCUUUUACGUAAUCCCAGGGAGAUGUUUAAUUUUCGCGAACAGAUCCGAUUUAUCGAGCGCUCGUACGAGGAACGAGUCUAGAAGAGCUUUCGUUCAAGCGUGUUGAAGAUAAAGUACGCGAAAAAGAUAAAGGAAGAACAAGGGCAAAGAAAAACUGCUUCGCGAGGUGUAGAACAUGAGUUCUCUGUAACACGCAGAAUCGAGAUCGUUCAUGUGCUCGCAAACGUAUCUGCUGCCAGCGAGUUUGUGCUUCAUUAGACAGGUUCUUUUUUUAGGUUUCCGGCAAGUGUGAUACUCGCAAAGAAAUACAGCCAAAGUAAACUAGUGAUAUUCUUUAUGCAGUAUUCUUCUUCCAUUAUUGCGAGGGUAUAUAAAACGAGGAGAUAGAGGAAUCGAGGAUAGAUCGAGUCGGAAUUAAUAUAAUAAGAUAAUAAAAGUAUCUAAGGAGUUGGAUAAUUUGAUCAGAUAUACGAAUUGAAAACAACGAAACGGUUUUGUGAUCUAUUUUUACGACUCGAGUGCCGGCAUCGGCAGAUAUUCUUCAAAAUGCCCUUGAAGUUCAUCGGACGUAAAACGGGAGUGUGAUAAAUCGGUCGGAUUAUAUCCAUUCAUCAAGGAUGGUGCAGCAGCCCGUUUGUACCCGUUGUGCUCCAGCAACCCACAUUUAUCUCGUGCCAAGCCUGCGCUUUCGUAUUUGCGCUUUGCACUGGCCGGGUAUCCGACCACCGAAGUCAGUCUCCGCGCAGAAUUUUUUCUAUUUUCCCGCGAUCGAUCUCUCUCCCUUCCGUUCGAAUCCGCGAUUAAACCCAACGAGCCGACGCGACGUCUUUUCGGUAUCGCCGAUUCAACGUAGUUGGCAAAGAACGUCGGGUCUAGUAAAAUCGGCGACGGUGAACCGAGCGGGAGAGAUCCAAAGCGUCGAUCUAAAAAAAGCUCCGUUGGCAAAAACCACGCGUAUUGCACGCGAACGAUGGAAAAUACCGCAGCGUUGCGAGGCGCGACUUCCGUUCGGCUGGUCGGUGCAAACGUCAGACGGUCUUGAAGCGGCGUACGUCAUCGGGAGACCGAAACGAGAGCUUGGCGGGCGGUCGCACGUCACCGUUCGAUCCUCAGGGGCGUCGCGACGCCUGUCCGUACCACGGCGAGCGAAUCUCCUUCCCAGAAUUUCGACGCUCAUCCGGUUCACACCGGUUCCCGUUGGCAGCUGGCACACUUCCGAUCGCCACCGCGUCGCAUACGCGUCACCGCACCGGUGCCGCGUUGGACCGAUCGUCCCUUUUCGACUCGGUCGCGUCUCACCUCGAUCCGUCUCCGACAGGGAUGAAAAAGAGGGGACACGGCGUCGUUGCGUAAGCGUCUGGACGCCGAGGCACCGUUGCGUCAGUCGUUCGAAAGCUACUAAGCAUCGCGGUCCACGAAAAGCCCACGAAGAGAGUCACUUGGCCGGUCUGCUCCGAACUACACUCUGAUCUUAUAUAACGUGAUUCGAAUGAGAGCAUCGAAAUUAAUGCAUCUUUCAAUAUUUAUACAUAUACGUACGUGAAGUACACUGUCAUCAAUCAUAAUAUAAAGAAUGUAGAAAGGUGCGUGAUGUGUAGAAGUAUUUUGGAUAAAUUUCAUAUGCAAUUGCCCACAUACAUAAUUCAUAGUUUCUCUUUGUGUACCGAGGACUAAGUAAAUGCAGGAGGAAAACACAAACAGAGAUCAGUCACCAGUUUCAGCGAAGUUACCACACGAUCGUAUAUCAAGGGACUCGAUUACGAUGCGCCGCCGACGGCACUUAUAAUCGUGGCAAGCGUGGUGUCUUCAGUAAAUUUGACUCACUAGCGUGAAGAGGACGACCACGUCCCCGGAUACGAUUCAGUUCUUUCCAACGUCGUGUGUGAAUCUUCGGACGUGAAGCUCGGUCGCGAACAACCGGUUUGUUUGGUGCUGUGCGCGUAUAGGCCUCACCCUCGCGUCGGUCUACGCCUCCGUUCAACCCUCCGCAACCCCCCGCAACCCCCGAUUUCUUCGUUUCCUGGACAAAUACACGAAUACGAUUCUCUCCGUCUUGGUGCCCGUUCGUGUAACGUUCGUGCACUGUCAGCCCGCGUAGUGAAAUCUAGUGAAGUCGCGAAGGACACUUAUGAAGGGGUCCAUCAACGCACCGCGGCCUAUCGUUGAUCAGAACAGAUAUAUUUGGGAUAACGAUUGGAAACAGUAGUGUAGACAAGGUACCGUAUCAUUGUCAUCGAAGUUCAUUAGUGUGUUAGUAUUAGAUGAAUUUGAAUUUCACAGUCGGUCGUUUUGGAUACAGUGACUUCUAAUUCGUUU